UGGAUGAACGCUAGCUACAGGCUUAACACAUGCAAGUCGAGGGGCAGCAUUUCAGUUUGCUUGCAAACUGGAGAUGGCGACCGGCGCACGGGUGAGUAACACGUAUCCAACCUGCCGAUAACUCGGGGAUAGCCUUUCGAAAGAAAGAUUAAUACCCGAUGGUAUAAUCAGACCGCAUGGUCUUGUUAUUAAAGAAUUUCGGUUAUCGAUGGGGAUGCGUUCCAUUAGGCAGUUGGUGAGGUAACGGCUCACCAAACCUUCGAUGGAUAGGGGUUCUGAGAGGAAGGUCCCCCACAUUGGAACUGAGACACGGUCCAAACUCCUACGGGAGGCAGCAGUGAGGAAUAUUGGUCAAUGGGCGCAGGCCUGAACCAGCCAAGUAGCGUGAAGGAUGACUGCCCUAUGGGUUGUAAACUUCUUUUAUAUGGGAAUAAAGUUUUCCACGUGUGGAAUUUUGUAUGUACCAUAUGAAUAAGGAUCGGCUAACUCCGUGCCAGCAGCCGCGGUAAUACGGAGGAUCCGAGCGUUAUCCGGAUUUAUUGGGUUUAAAGGGAGCGUAGGUGGACAGUUAAGUCAGUUGUGAAAGUUUGCGGCUCAACCGUAAAAUUGCAGUUGAUACUGGCUGUCUUGAGUACAGUAGAGGUGGGCGGAAUUCGUGGUGUAGCGGUGAAAUGCUUAGAUAUCACGAAGAACUCCGAUUGCGAAGGCAGCUCACUGGACUGCAACUGACACUGAUGCUCGAAAGUGUGGGUAUCAAACAGGAUUAGAUACCCUGGUAGUCCACACAGUAAACGAUGAAUACUCGCUGUUUGCGAUAUACAGUAAGCGGCCAAGCGAAAGCAUUAAGUAUUCCACCUGGGGAGUACGCCGGCAACGGUGAAACUCAAAGGAAUUGACGGGGGCCCGCACAAGCGGAGGAACAUGUGGUUUAAUUCGAUGAUACGCGAGGAACCUUACCCGGGCUUAAAUUGCAUUUGAAUAUAUUGGAAACAGUAUAGCCGUAAGGCAAAUGUGAAGGUGCUGCAUGGUUGUCGUCAGCUCGUGCCGUGAGGUGUCGGCUUAAGUGCCAUAACGAGCGCAACCCUUAUCUUUAGUUACUAACAGGUCAUGCUGAGGACUCUAGAGAGACUGCCGUCGUAAGAUGUGAGGAAGGUGGGGAUGACGUCAAAUCAGCACGGCCCUUACGUCCGGGGCUACACACGUGUUACAAUGGGGGGUACAGAAGGCAGCUACCUGGUGACAGGAUGCUAAUCCCAAAAGCCUCUCUCAGUUCGGAUCGAAGUCUGCAACCCGACUUCGUGAAGCUGGAUUCGCUAGUAAUCGCGCAUCAGCCAUGGCGCGGUGAAUACGUUCCCGGGCCUUGUACACACCGCCCGUCAAGCCAUGAAAGCCGGGGGUACCUGAAGUACGUAACCGCAAGGAGCGUCCUAGGGUAAAACUGG
Molecule: ribosomal RNA, 1442 nt
Filed under: uncultured organism
Description: SSU rRNA
Rfam family: Bacterial small subunit ribosomal RNA
Source: RNAcentral